GCAAUUAUACAGCGAAACUGCGAAUGGCUCAUUAUAUAAGUUAUCGUUUAUUUGAUAGUACCUUACUACUUGGAUAACCGUGGUAAUUCUAGAGCUAAUACAUGCUAAAAAUCCCGACUUACGAAGGGAUGUAUUUAUUAGAUUAAAAACCAAUGCCCUUCGGGGCUCACUGGUGAUUCAUAAUAACUUCUCGAAUCGCAUGGCCUUGCGCCGGCGAUGGUUCAUUCAAAUUUCUUCCCUAUCAACUUUCGAUGCUAGAGUAGUGUUCUAGCAUGGUUACAACGGGUAACGGAGGGUUAGGGCUCGACCCCGGAGAAGGAGCCUGAGAAACGGCUACUACAUCCAAGGAAGGCAGCAGGCGCGCAAAUUACCCAAUCCCGACACGGGGAGGUAGUGACGAUAAAUACUGAUACAGGGCUCUUUUGGGUCUUGUAAUUGGAAUGAGUACAAUUUAAAUCCCUUAACGAGGAACAAUUGGAGGGCAAGUCUGGUGCCAGCAGCCGCGGUAAUUCCAGCUCCAAUAGCGUAUAUUAAAGUUGUUGUGGUUAAAAAGCUCGUAGUAGAACCUUGGGCCUGGCUGGCCGGUCCGCCUCACCGCGUGCACUGGUCCGGCCGGGCCUUUCCCCCUGUGGAACCUCAUGCCCUUCACUGGGUGUGUGGGAAAACAGGACUUUUACUUUGAAAAAAUUAGAGUGCUCCAGGCAGGCCUAUGCUCGAAUACAUUAGCAUGGAAUAAUAGAAUAGGACGUGUGGUUCUAUUUUGUUGGUUUCUAGGACCGCCGUAAUGAUUAAUAGGGACAGUCGGGGGCAUCAGUAUUCAAUUGUCAGAGGUGAAAUUCUUGGAUUUAUUGAAGACUAACUACUGCGAAAGCAUUUGCCAAGGAUGUUUUCAUUUAUCAGGAACGAAAGUUAGGGGAUCGAAGACA
Molecule: ribosomal RNA, 926 nt
Filed under: Colletotrichum gloeosporioides
Lineage: Eukaryota; Fungi; Ascomycota; Sordariomycetes; Glomerellales; Glomerellaceae
Description: SSU rRNA
Rfam family: Eukaryotic small subunit ribosomal RNA
Source: RNAcentral